GGUUCCACACGUACCCAUCCCGAACACGACCGUUAAGCCCUCCAGCGCCGAUGGUACUUGGACCGCAGGGUCCUGGGAGAGUAGGACGUUGCCAAGC
RNAcentral lists this ribosomal RNA (97 nucleotides) under Paenibacillus polymyxa. RNAcentral also lists the same sequence under 2 other names. The record is from RNAcentral. Lineage: Bacteria; Bacillati; Bacillota; Bacilli; Caryophanales; Paenibacillaceae.